This 119-nucleotide ribosomal RNA is filed under the name Pteropus alecto (black flying fox). The record is from RNAcentral. Lineage: Eukaryota; Metazoa; Chordata; Mammalia; Chiroptera; Pteropodidae. RNAcentral also lists the same sequence under 1 other name.
GUCUACAGGCAUGCCACCCUGAACAAGCCCGAUCCUGUCUGAUCUCGGAAGCUAAGCAGGGUCGGGCCUGGUUAGUACUUGGAUGGGAGACCACCUAAAAAGACCAGGUACUGUAGGCG